UCGUCCCAUGUCAUGACUGAGUCGUGAAGUCCAAACUCUUGCUGUUCAAAAACGCGGACCGCUCGUGGCUUCUUCUCCAUGUUGUUGUUCCGUUGGUGUCGAAAAUGAGGACAUGUGUGCCUUGUUUCUUUUCUCCUUCUCAAUGAGGAGAUACAAUGUCUUCUUUCUUUUCAUCUUUCUUACUCAUAGCUUCUCCAAAAAAACGUUGCCCACAAGCUGUUUGCAUGUAUUCCUUUGUAGAUGACACUUUAUCUUUUUUAGUACAAUGUAUAAAGCCUUCAAUUGUUUUUCUUCAACUUGUCAUAAAAAUGGUUACGGUUUGUUAUAGUGGAUCGAGGAC
This 340-nucleotide long non-coding RNA is filed under the name Glycine max (soybean). Its description in RNAcentral is "long non-coding RNA (GMAX_LNC000990)". The record is from RNAcentral. Lineage: Eukaryota; Viridiplantae; Streptophyta; Magnoliopsida; Fabales; Fabaceae.